This 1867-nucleotide ribosomal RNA is filed under the name gut metagenome. Its description in RNAcentral is "bacterial LSU rRNA". It matches the Rfam family "Bacterial large subunit ribosomal RNA", at positions 866 to 2746 of the family's 2925-position model. The record is from RNAcentral.
AGCUUUAGGGCUAGCCUCUCGUUAGUGUACCGAAGGUAGAGCACUGUAUGAGCUAGGGGGCUUCACGGCUUACUGAACUCUAACAAACUUCGAAUGACGGAUACAUGAUGCGAGGGAGUCAGACAGUGUGAGAUAAGUCUCAUUGUCAAAAGGGAAACAGCCCAGACCUACAACUAAGGUCCCAAAGUACAAGUUAAGUGGUAAAGGAUGUGUCGACGCUAAAACAACCAGGAUGUUGGCUUAGAAGCAGCCACUCAUUUAAAGAGUGCGUAAUAGCUCACUGGUCGAGUAUCGGUGCGCCGAAGAUUAUCGGGGCUAAAACUUGUCACCGAAGUUUAGGGAUAUGCGAUUGCAUAUCGGUAGAGGAGCAAUGUGUACGGGCAGAAGCUGUAUCGAAAGGGGCAGUGGACUGUACACAAGAGAGAAUGCCGGCAUAAGUAGCGAGAGCAAAGUGAGAAACUUUGCCGUCGAAAGCCUUAGGUUUCCUGGGGAAGGUUCGUCCUCCCAGGGUAAGUCGGGACCUAAGCCGAGGCCGAAAGGCGUAGGUGAUGGACAACAGGUAGAUAUUCCUGUACCACCGACAGUCGUCUAAAUGAAGCAAUGACACAGAAGGAUAGUCAAACCGCGUUGAUGGAUAUAUGCGGCCAAAUCAUUAGGCUUAUGUGUAGUGAAGUACGCACAUAGUUAAGGCUGAGUGAUGAUGGGGAGUGAAAACUAGUAAUGAAGUUGAUGAUUCCACGCUGGCGAGAAAAGUUGCUAAAUAUGACUGAAGGUGCCCGUACCGCAAACCGACACAGGUAGGUGAGGAGAAAAUCCUAAGACGAGCGGGAUAACCCAUGUUAAGGAACUCUGCAAAAUCACCCCGUAACUUAGGGAGAAGGGGUACCACGCAAGUGGUCGCAGUGAAGAGGCCCAAGCGACUGUUUACCAAAAACACAGGUCUCUGCUAAAUCGUAAGAUGAAGUAUAGGGGCUGACGCCUGCCCAGUGCUGGAAGGUUAAGGGGAUGUGUUAGCGCAAGCGAAGCACGGAACUUAAGCCCCAGUGAACGGCGGCCGUAACUAUAACGGUCCUAAGGUAGCGAAAUUCCUUGUCAGGUAAGUUCUGACCCGCACGAAUGGCGUAACGAUUUGGGCGCUGUCUCAACAUGGGACCCGGCGAAAUUGUAGUAUACGUGAAGAUGCGUAUUACCCGCGACUGGACGGAAAGACCCCGUAGAGCUUUACUGUAGUCUGAUAUUGGAUUUCGGUGAUUUAUGUACAGGAUAGGUGGGAGACUUUGAAGCAUAGGCGUCAGCUUAUGUGGAGUCAACCUUGGGAUACCACCCUUAAAUUAUUGAGGUUCUAACUUUGUGCCGUAAUCCGGGCAGAGAACAGUGUCAGAUGGGCAGUUUGACUGGGGCGGUCGCCUCCUAAAAUGUAACGGAGGCGUCCAAAGGUUCCCUCAGGAUGGUUGGAAAUCAUCCAAAGAGUAUAAAGGCAGAAGGGAGCUUAACUGCGAGACAGACAUGUCGAGCAGAUACGAAAGUAGGGCUUAGUGAUCCGGCGGUAGAGUAUGGAAUUGCCGUCGCUUAACGGAUAAAAGUUACCUCGGGGAUAACAGGCUUAUCUCCCCCAAGAGUUCACAUCGACGGGGAGGUUUGGCACCUCGAUGUCGGCUCGUCACAUCCUGGGGCUGUAGUAGGUCCCAAGGGUUCGGCUGUUCGCCGAUUAAAGUGGCACGCGAGCUGGGUUCAGAACGUCGUGAGACAGUUCGGUCCCUAUCCAUCGUGGGCGUAGGAUAUUUGAGAGGAUCUGCUCCUAGUACGAGAGGACCAGAGUGGACGCACCUAUGGUGCACCUGUUGUCGCGCCAGCGGCACAGCAGGGU